AUUGAACGCUGGCGGCAUGCUUUACACAUGCAAGUCGGACGGCAGCACAGAGAAGCUUGCUUCUUGGGUGGCGAGUGGCGAACGGGUGAGUAACAUAUCGGAACGUACCGAGCAGUGGGGGAUAACUAAUCGAAAGAUUAGCUAAUACCGCAUAUUUUCUGAGGAAGAAAGCAGGGGACCUUUGGGCCUUGCGCUGUUUGAGCGGCCGAUAUCUGAUUAGCUAGUUGGUGGGGUAAAGGCCUACCAAGGCGACGAUCAGUAGCGGGUCUGAGAGGAUGAUCCGCCACACUGGGACUGAGACACGGCCCAGACUCCUACGGGAGGCAGCAGUGGGGAAUUUUGGACAAUGGGCGCAAGCCUGAUCCAGCCAUGCCGCGUGUCUGAAGAAGGCCUUCGGGUGGUAAAGGACUUUUGUCAGGGAAGAAAAGGGCGGGGUUAAUACCCCUGUCUGAUGGCGGUACCUGAAGAAUAAGCACCGGCUAACUACGU
This 489-nucleotide ribosomal RNA is filed under the name uncultured bacterium. RNAcentral's name for it is "partial 16S ribosomal RNA". It matches the Rfam family "Bacterial small subunit ribosomal RNA", at positions 30 to 506 of the family's 1533-position model. The record is from RNAcentral.